AGUGUACCCCAGUUCCCUGAGAGGGGUCAGGGCGGGGUCUGCCCGCCUCUAGGGCCACUGGUGAAAUACCAUUACUCCCAUCAACUUUUCACUGACUCUGGGGGGAGGUGUGAGUCCAAAGAGGCUCUCGCUUCUGGCGCCAAGUGCCUGUCUGCAUGCAUGUGUGGACUCGACCUGCUCUGGGGACAAGGACAGGUGGGGAGUUUGACUGGGAUGGUAUACUUGUAAAAUGGUAAUGCAGUGUCCUAAUGUGAGCUCGGGGAGGGCAGAAACCUCCCAUGGAGUGGAAGAGCAAAAGCUCGCUUGUUCUUGAUUUUCAGUACCAAUACAGACCGUGAAAGCAGGGCCUUGAGAUCCUUCUGACUUUUGGGUUUUAAGCAGGAGGUGUCAGAAAAGUUA
This 399-nucleotide non-coding RNA is filed under the name Rattus norvegicus (Norway rat). RNAcentral describes it as "Eukaryotic large subunit ribosomal RNA". It matches the Rfam family "Eukaryotic large subunit ribosomal RNA", at positions 2474 to 2817 of the family's 3401-position model. The record is from Rfam by way of RNAcentral. Lineage: Eukaryota; Metazoa; Chordata; Mammalia; Rodentia; Muridae.